GUACACACCGCCCGUCGCUGCUACCGAUUGGAUGAUCCGGUGAAAUCCUCGGACUGAGGUAGUUAUCUAGCAGCAAUGUUAGAUGUUAUUUGGGAAGUUGAUUAAACCUUAUCAUCUAGAGGAAGCAAAAGUCGUAACAAGGUUUCCGUAGGUGAACCUGCAGAAGGAUCA
RNAcentral lists this ribosomal RNA (171 nucleotides) under uncultured eukaryote. Its description in RNAcentral is "partial small subunit ribosomal RNA". It matches the Rfam family "Eukaryotic small subunit ribosomal RNA", at positions 1662 to 1828 of the family's 1831-position model. The record is from RNAcentral.